GUUCAUGUAGCUUAAUCAACUAAAGCAAAGCACUGAAAAUGCUUAGAUGGAUUUCUGAUCCCAUAAACA
RNAcentral lists this transfer RNA (69 nucleotides) under Phodopus roborovskii (desert hamster). RNAcentral describes it as "tRNA-Phe". It matches the Rfam family "tRNA". From Rfam's summary of the family: Transfer RNA (tRNA) molecules are approximately 80 nucleotides in length. Their secondary structure includes four short double-helical elements and three loops (D, anti-codon, and T loops). Further hydrogen bonds mediate the characteristic L-shaped molecular structure. tRNAs have two regions of fundamental functional importance: the anti-codon, which is responsible for specific mRNA codon recognition, and the 3' end, to which the tRNAs corresponding amino acid is attached (by aminoacyl-tRNA synthetases). tRNAs cope with the degeneracy of the genetic code in two manners: having more than one tRNA (with a specific anti-codon) for a particular amino acid; and 'wobble' base-pairing, i.e. permitting non-standard base-pairing at the 3rd anti-codon position. The record is from RNAcentral. Lineage: Eukaryota; Metazoa; Chordata; Mammalia; Rodentia; Cricetidae.